RNAcentral lists this ribosomal RNA (272 nucleotides) under Escherichia coli. Its description in RNAcentral is "partial 16S ribosomal RNA". It matches the Rfam family "Bacterial small subunit ribosomal RNA", at positions 1 to 269 of the family's 1533-position model. Lineage: Bacteria; Pseudomonadati; Pseudomonadota; Gammaproteobacteria; Enterobacterales; Enterobacteriaceae. The record is from RNAcentral.
AAAUUGAAGAGUUUGAUCAUGGCUCAGAUUGAACGCUGGCGGCAGGCCUAACACAUGCAAGUCGAACGGUAACAGGAAGCAGCUUGCUGCUUCGCUGGCGAGUGGCGGACGGGUGAGUAAUGUCUGGGAAACUGCCUGAUGGAGGGGGAUAACUACUGGAAACGGUAGCUAAUACCGCAUAACGUCGCAAGACCAAAGAGGGGGACCUUCGGGCCUCUUACCAUCGGAUGUGCCCAGAUGGGAUUAGCUAGUAGGUGGGGUAACGGCUCACC